GCGGCUACUGCUAUCAGGUUUCGACUAAGCCAUGCGGGUCAAGGGGUCGUAAGACACCGGCGUACUGCUCAGUAACACGCGGACAAUCUACCCCCAGGUGGAGGAUAACCUCGGGAAACUGAGGCUAAUACCCCAUAGUUGUCAUGUGCUGGAAUGCUUUGACGAUGAAAGAAUUUCGCCUGAGGAUGAGUCUGCGGCCUAUCAGGUAGUAUGUGGUGUAAAGGACCACAUAGCCUAAGACGGGUACGGGCCUUGAAAGAGGGAGCCCGGAGAUGGACUCUGAGACACUAGUCCAGGCCCUACGGGGCGCAGCAGGCGCGAAAACUGUGCAAUGCGCGCAAGCGCGACACGGGAAGCCUGAGUGCCUUAACUAUGUUAAGGCUUUUCUUGAUCCUAAAAAGCUCAAGGAAUAAGAGCUGGGUAAGACGGGUGCCAGCCGCCGCGGUAACACCCGCGGCUCGAGUGGUAGUCACUUUUAUUGAGCCUAAAGCGUUUGUAGCCGGAUUUGUAAACCUCUAGGAAAAUACUUCUGCUUAACUGAAGAAAUUUUGGAGAGACUGCAAAUCUAGGGACCGGGUGAGGUUGAAUGUACUUCUGGGGUAGGGGUAAAAUCCUGUAAUCCUGGAAGGACGACCGGUGGCGAAGGCGUUCAACUAGAACGGAUCCGACGGUGAGGAACGAAGGCUAGGGGAGCAAACCGGAUUAGAUACCCGGGUAGUCCUAGCUGUAAACACUGCCCACUUGGUGUUGCAUCUCCGGUAAGGGGGUGCAGUGCCGUAGCGAAGGUGUUAAGUGGGCCGCUUGGGGAGUAUGGUCGCAAGGCUGAAACUUAA
RNAcentral lists this ribosomal RNA (833 nucleotides) under archaeon enrichment culture. RNAcentral describes it as "bacterial SSU rRNA". It matches the Rfam family "Archaeal small subunit ribosomal RNA", at positions 20 to 859 of the family's 1478-position model. The record is from RNAcentral.